GAUUAUGCGGUUUAAUUCGAUGAUAAACGAAGAACCUUACCAAGGUUAGAAAUCAACGUGAAAGCCCUGAGAAACCAGGGCCCUCGCAAGACUAGUUGACAGGUGAUGCAUGGCCGUCGUCAGUUCGUGGUUUGAAUUGUUCCCUUAAGUGGGGUAACGAACGCAACCCUCGUCGUGUGUUAUAAGUGUCACACGAGACUGCCCCGACCCAAGCGGAUAAAAGUUGAAAGUUAAAAGUUCAUAAAGUUCAUAAAGUAAAAUGCAUUUUGCAUUCACUUUAUAACUUUACACUUUAUAAAACUUUAUAACUAUUUGUACGUUUCGGUCGGGGAGGAAGGGGAGGAUGACGCCAGGUCAGCAUGUCCCUUGAUACCUUGGGCUACACACAUAAUACAAUCGCAAUUACAACGGGCAGCGACGGGGUAACCCUGAGCGAAUCCUAUAAAAAUUGCGCCAGUUCGGAUUGGGGGCUGCAACUCGACCCCAUGAAGUUGGAAUUACUAGUAAUCGCGGGUCAGACAUACCGCGGUGAAUACGUUCUCAANNAGUCUUGUACUCACCGCCCGUCAAUUCAAGGGAGCCGGGAAUACUCGAAAUCUCUCCAGAAGGAGGGCCUACAGUAAGCUCGGUGACAGGGAAUAAGUCGUAACAAGGCACGGGUAGCGGAAGCUGUUCGUGGAAU
RNAcentral lists this ribosomal RNA (682 nucleotides) under Candidatus Nomurabacteria bacterium. Its description in RNAcentral is "bacterial SSU rRNA". It matches the Rfam family "Bacterial small subunit ribosomal RNA", at positions 935 to 1522 of the family's 1533-position model. The record is from RNAcentral. Lineage: Bacteria; Candidatus Nomuraibacteriota.